GCCUUUGUGGUUUAACGGUAACAUACUCGGCGCGCAUUCGAGAGGUCCAGGUUCAAGUCCCGGCGAGGGCA
This is a non-coding RNA of Stegodyphus mimosarum, 71 nucleotides long. The record is from Rfam. Lineage: Eukaryota; Metazoa; Arthropoda; Arachnida; Araneae; Eresidae.